UUUACUGAGAGUUUGAUCCUAGCUCAGGGUGAACGCUGGCGGUAUGGAUAAGGCAUGCAAGUCGAAUGGUCCAGAUUUAUUUUUGGGACCCAUGGCAGACGAGGUAGUAACACGUAGGAACGUCCCCCAAAGUCGGGCAUAACCAGUCGAAAGAUUGGAUAAUUCCCGAUACGUCGCAAGAUGAAAGACAAAUUAUUUAUUUAAUCUGUCGCUCUGGGAGCGGCCUGCGUAAUAUCAGCUAGUUGGUGAGGUAAUGGCUCACCAAGGCUAUGACGUUUAGGGGACCUGAGAGGGUGACCCCCACCGAUGAUACUGAGACACGGAUCAUACCCCUACGGGGGGCUGCAGCCAAGAACAUUCGACAAUGGGCGAAAGCCUGAUCGAGCGAUACCGCGUGGUGGAUGAAGCGCUUCGGCGCGUAAACACCUUUUAUGGAGGAGGAAGUUAUUGACGUUACUCCAUGAAUAAGGGGCUC
Molecule: ribosomal RNA, 475 nt
Filed under: bacterium
Lineage: Bacteria
Description: bacterial SSU rRNA
Rfam family: Bacterial small subunit ribosomal RNA
Source: RNAcentral